Molecule: ribosomal RNA, 154 nt
Filed under: Usnea rubricornuta
Lineage: Eukaryota; Fungi; Ascomycota; Lecanoromycetes; Lecanorales; Parmeliaceae
Description: 5.8S ribosomal RNA
Rfam family: 5.8S ribosomal RNA
About the family: 5.8S ribosomal RNA (5.8S rRNA) is a component of the large subunit of the eukaryotic ribosome.
Source: RNAcentral
CUUUCAACAACGGAUCUCUUGGUUCCAGCAACGAUGAAGAACGCAGCGAAAUGCGAUAAGUAAUGUGAAUUGCAGAAUUCAGUGAAUCAUCGAAUCUUUGAACGCACAUUGCGCCCCUCGGUAUUCCGGGGGGCAUGCCUGUUCGAGCGUCAUU